UCGGCCUGCUUCUGAGCCCUCAGCAACUUCUGGGGGUCUGCCUGCUUCUGAGCCCUCAGCAAGGCCUGGGGGUCGGCCUGCUUCUCAGCCCUCAGCAAGGCCUGGGGGUCGGCCUGCUUCUGAGCCCUCAGCAAGGCCUGGGGGUCGGCCUGCUUCUGAGCCCUCAGCAACGCCUGGGGGUCGGCCUGCUUCUGAGCCCUCAGCAAGGCCUGGGGGUCGGCCUGCUUCUGAGCCCUCAGCAACGUCUGGGGGUCGGCCUGCUUCUGAGCCCUCAGCAACGCCUGGGGGUCGGCCUGCUUCUGCGCCCUCAGCACUAGAGUUACAGAUGCUCACCAUGUGCUCAGCUUGUUAUACGGGUGCUGGGGAUUCAAACCCAGGUCCGCAUGCUUGCUCAGCUAGCCUUUU
Long non-coding RNA from Acomys russatus (golden spiny mouse), 405 nucleotides. RefSeq lists it as uncharacterized. NCBI's taxonomy places the organism in Eukaryota, Metazoa, Chordata, Mammalia, Rodentia, Muridae. The record is from RefSeq and is a predicted model, not a curated record. The transcript is spliced from 3 exons.